This 201-nucleotide long non-coding RNA is filed under the name Elaeis guineensis (African oil palm). Its description in RNAcentral is "long non-coding RNA (EGUI_LNC078598)". Lineage: Eukaryota; Viridiplantae; Streptophyta; Magnoliopsida; Arecales; Arecaceae. The record is from RNAcentral.
UUUGGUGGAACCACCGACUUUCGUCCUCUGAUUCCUGAAGCCUCUUCCUUAGAACUUCAGACUCCGCUUCAGCAUUCUUGACCGCCUGCUGCUCAUAGGUUAGCUGAAUUUUUAGCCGCUGCAGCUCGGCCUUCUCCUACCUGAGGGCCACGGACAGUUCUUCCAUGAUCCCCCUCAAGGAGUGGAGCUUGUUGGAGCCUU